This 78-nucleotide small nucleolar RNA is filed under the name Ursus thibetanus thibetanus. Its description in RNAcentral is "Small nucleolar RNA SNORD113/SNORD114 family (ENSUTTG00000014796.1)". It matches the Rfam family "Small nucleolar RNA SNORD113/SNORD114 family". From Rfam's summary of the family: The imprinted human domain at 14q32 contains two clusters of tandemly repeated small nucleolar RNAs named 14q(I) and 14q(II) snoRNAs. These two clusters are named SNORD113 and SNORD114 respectively in the HGNC approved gene symbol nomenclature. The snoRNAs found in both clusters are clearly related and are represented here by a single family. The record is from RNAcentral. Lineage: Eukaryota; Metazoa; Chordata; Mammalia; Carnivora; Ursidae.
UGGACCGAUGAUGAUGACUGGUGGCGUAUGAGUCAUGGAUGAUGAGGACUGACAUGUGUCUGAAACUCUGAGGUCCGA